UUCCCCAGCUAUAAACAGCGCUGCAUAUGAGGUAUCAAUGGAAAGUUUAGAAAAUGUACGUUACUACUAGCAUGAUAGAUUCAAAUUAAGCGUCAUGAGUACCAGCCCAGACCUGUCUAAAGUUCAUACGGAUUUUGAACAUUUUUGUUGCACAUUUUUUCUAACAUAUAUGAAUAUAUGUUCUCAAACUAGGCAUGACCUGAAAGGACUUGAACCAAGCUUUCCAACGAGCCCACUCUCACCUACAUCGUUCAUAUUUAGCGGUCAUAAAAUGAGUCUAAAAAACACCCUUUCGAUCUUCGAAAAUCUUCCACCAGCAACCAGGUGUAGCUCGAGACUAUCUGAGGCCUGUUUUGAGGUCUAUUGGCAAAGACCUUUCAAUGUGUAUAUCCAUCCCAGACAAAAUGGGUUC
This is a long non-coding RNA of Bradysia coprophila, 412 nucleotides long. The record is from RefSeq and is a predicted model, not a curated record. Lineage: Eukaryota; Metazoa; Arthropoda; Insecta; Diptera; Sciaridae.